CCUACGGGAGGCAGCAGUGGGGAAUAUUGCACAAUGGGGGAAACCCUGAUGCCGCGACGCCGCGUGAGUGAAGAAGUAUCUCGGUACGUAAAGCUCUAUCAGCAGGGAAGAAAAUGACGGUACCUGACUAAGAAGCCCCGGCUAACUACGUGCCAGCAGCCGCGGUAAUACGUAGGGGGCAAGCGUUAUCCGGAUUUACUGGGUGUAAAGGGAGCGUAGACGGCAGCACAAGUCUGGAGUGAAAUCCCGGGGCUUAACCCCGGAACUGCUUUGGAAACUGUGAAGCUGGAGUGCAGGAGAGGUAAGCGGAAUUCCUGGUGUAGCGGUGAAAUGCGUAGAUAUCAGGAGGAACACCGGCGGCGAAGGCGGCUUACUGGACUGUAACUGACGUUGAGGCUCGAAGGCGUGGGGAGCAAACAGGAUUAGAUACCCCAGUAGUC
This 440-nucleotide ribosomal RNA is filed under the name uncultured bacterium. Its description in RNAcentral is "partial 16S ribosomal RNA". It matches the Rfam family "Bacterial small subunit ribosomal RNA", at positions 338 to 795 of the family's 1533-position model. The record is from RNAcentral.